GUGCUCAUUUUGACAGCACAUAGACUAAAAUUGGAACAAGACAGAGAAGAUGAGCAUGGCCCCUGAGUAAGGAUGACAUAAAAAUUCACUGUUAUAUAUUUUU
Molecule: small nuclear RNA, 103 nt
Filed under: Neogale vison (American mink)
Lineage: Eukaryota; Metazoa; Chordata; Mammalia; Carnivora; Mustelidae
Source: RNAcentral